AAUUUUACAGCUAUAAAUAGUGGUGUUUCUUCCUGGUAUUGUGUAUGAGAAAAGUAUUGUAGUGUGCAUGAAAAAAGUGUGGUUGAUGUAGUGAAAAAGAGAGUUGAGAAAAGGAGAAAAUUUAAGUCUCCAACUUAUUCUCUACAAAAGAGAAUAUUAUUUUAUUGAAGGACGGUAUUCAUUUUGGUGAAACUUUGGACUAAACAACUUUUUCCGACAGGGGGGUGCAGAGUGUUGACGACAGAUUCAAUUGAACCCAUAAUAUCCCAUGUAGAACAAAAAUAUAUAUGUAAAAAUUCCUUAAAAUUAUAAAAAUAGUAUAUAUGUAUCCAUAACUUUAAAAAU
Molecule: long non-coding RNA, 345 nt
Filed under: Nicotiana benthamiana
Lineage: Eukaryota; Viridiplantae; Streptophyta; Magnoliopsida; Solanales; Solanaceae
Description: long non-coding RNA (NBEN_LNC031824)
Source: RNAcentral